RNAcentral lists this ribosomal RNA (909 nucleotides) under Vibrio cholerae. RNAcentral describes it as "partial 23S ribosomal RNA". It matches the Rfam family "Bacterial large subunit ribosomal RNA", at positions 717 to 1629 of the family's 2925-position model. Lineage: Bacteria; Pseudomonadati; Pseudomonadota; Gammaproteobacteria; Vibrionales; Vibrionaceae. The record is from RNAcentral.
GAAACCGGGUGAUCUAGCCAUGGGCAGGUUGAAGGUUGAGUAACAUCAACUGGAGGACCGAACCGACUAAUGUUGAAAAAUUAGCGGAUGACUUGUGGCUAGGGGUGAAAGGCCAAUCAAACUCGGAGAUAGCUGGUUCUCCCCGAAAGCUAUUUAGGUAGCGCCUCGGACGAAUACUACUGGGGGUAGAGCACUGUUAAGGCUAGGGGGUCAUCCCGACUUACCAACCCUUUGCAAACUCCGAAUACCAGUAAGUACUAUCCGGGAGACACACGGCGGGUGCUAACGUCCGUCGUGGAGAGGGAAACAACCCAGACCGCCAGCUAAGGUCCCAAAGUAUUGCUAAGUGGGAAACGAUGUGGGAAGGCUCAGACAGCUAGGAUGUUGGCUUAGAAGCAGCCAUCAUUUAAAGAAAGCGUAAUAGCUCACUAGUCGAGUCGGCCUGCGCGGAAGAUGUAACGGGGCUAAGCAAUACACCGAAGCUGCGGCAAUAUCUUUUAGAUAUUGGGUAGGGGAGCGUUCUGUAAGCCGUUGAAGGUGAAUCGUAAGGUUUGCUGGAGGUAUCAGAAGUGCGAAUGCUGACAUGAGUAACGACAAAGGGGGUGAAAAACCUCCUCGCCGGAAGACCAAGGGUUCCUGUCCAACGUUAAUCGGGGCAGGGUGAGUCGACCCCUAAGGUGAGGCCGAAAGGCGUAAUCGAUGGGAAACGGGUUAAUAUUCCCGUACUUCUGACUAUUGCGAUGGGGGGACGGAGAAGGCUAGGUGGGCCAGGCGACGGUUGUCCUGGUUCAAGUGCGUAGGCUUGAGAGUUAGGUAAAUCCGGCUCUCUCUAAGGCUGAGACACGACGUCGAGCUGCUACGGCAGUGAAGUCAUUGAUGCCAUGCUUCCAGGAAAAGCCUCUAAGCUUC